RNAcentral lists this ribosomal RNA (433 nucleotides) under uncultured bacterium. RNAcentral describes it as "bacterial SSU rRNA". It matches the Rfam family "Bacterial small subunit ribosomal RNA", at positions 46 to 525 of the family's 1533-position model. The record is from RNAcentral.
GGAUUAGGCAUGCAAGUCGAAUGGGUUCAGACCCAUGGCAGACGAGGUAGGAACACGUAGGUACGUACCCUAAAGUCAGGGAUAACCCGAUGAAAAUCGGAAUAAUACUUGAUGGUCCCUUCGGGGUAAAGUUUUAACGCUUUAGGAACGGCCUGCGGUCUAUCAGCUUGUUGGUAAGGUAACGGCUUACCAAGGCGACGACGGAUAGGGGAGGUGAGAGCCUGGCCCCCACCGAUGGAACUGCGACACGGUCCAUACUCCUACGGGAGGCUGCAGUCGAGAAUCUUCCGCAAUGGACGAAAGUCUGACGGAGCGACGCCGCGUGGUGGAUGAAGUCCUUAGGGACGUAAACACCUUUUAUGAGGGAGAAAGUAUAUUGAUGUUACCUCAUGAAUAAGGGGCUCCCAACUCUGUGCCAGCAACCGCGGUAAUA